GGGCACAUAGCUCAGUUGGUCAGAGCGCCUGCCUUACACGCUGGAGGUCGCCGGUUCGAGCCCGGCUGUGCCCACCG
RNAcentral lists this transfer RNA (77 nucleotides) under Acidipropionibacterium jensenii. Its description in RNAcentral is "tRNA-Val". It matches the Rfam family "tRNA". Rfam says of the family: Transfer RNA (tRNA) molecules are approximately 80 nucleotides in length. Their secondary structure includes four short double-helical elements and three loops (D, anti-codon, and T loops). Further hydrogen bonds mediate the characteristic L-shaped molecular structure. tRNAs have two regions of fundamental functional importance: the anti-codon, which is responsible for specific mRNA codon recognition, and the 3' end, to which the tRNAs corresponding amino acid is attached (by aminoacyl-tRNA synthetases). tRNAs cope with the degeneracy of the genetic code in two manners: having more than one tRNA (with a specific anti-codon) for a particular amino acid; and 'wobble' base-pairing, i.e. permitting non-standard base-pairing at the 3rd anti-codon position. Lineage: Bacteria; Bacillati; Actinomycetota; Actinomycetes; Propionibacteriales; Propionibacteriaceae. The record is from RNAcentral.